UACGGAGGGGGCUAGCGUUGUUCGGAAUUACUGGGCGUAAAGCGCACGUAGGCGGCUUUGUAAGUUAGCGGUGAAAGCCCGGGGCUCAACUCCGGAACUGCCUUUAAGACUGCAUCGCUUGAAUCCGGGAGAGGUGAGUGGAAUUCCGAGUGUAGAGGUGAAAUUCGUAGAUAUUCGGAAGAACACCAGUGGCGAAGGCGCUGCUCUGGGCCGGUACUGACGCUGAGGAGCGAAAGCGUGGGUAGCAAACAGG
Molecule: ribosomal RNA, 253 nt
Filed under: uncultured bacterium
Lineage: Bacteria
Description: partial 16S ribosomal RNA
Rfam family: Bacterial small subunit ribosomal RNA
Source: RNAcentral